This 224-nucleotide ribosomal RNA is filed under the name uncultured bacterium. Its description in RNAcentral is "partial 16S ribosomal RNA". It matches the Rfam family "Bacterial small subunit ribosomal RNA", at positions 28 to 250 of the family's 1533-position model. The record is from RNAcentral.
GAUGAACGCUAGCGGCAGGCCUAAUACAUGCAAGCUGAACGGCAAGAUUUGUAGCAAUACGAGUCCUAGAGUAGCGUAAGGGCGCGUAACACGUAUGCAAUCUGCCCGCAACAGGAGGAUAGCUUAGCGAAAGUUGAGAUAAGACUCCAUAAGAUCACGAGAGGGCAUCUGAUUGUGAUUAAACUACAAGGGGUUGCGAUNAGCAUGCGUCUGAUUAGUUAGUU